Pelobates cultripes (western spadefoot toad) is the source of this 588-nucleotide non-coding RNA. The record is from the annotation of a GenBank genome assembly. NCBI's taxonomy places the organism in Eukaryota, Metazoa, Chordata, Amphibia, Anura, Pelobatidae.
CUGAUGUUAAGUAUAGUUUAAUGGUAUUGUAUGCUAGUUUCAUAGCGAUGUGGCGAAAAGUUGUGAAUGCAACCAUGGUUUCUAUAGAAAAAAUAUUUAUUGCAUUAAAGUCUUACACAAACUUCUUAAACACACCAUAUGCUCUAGCGUAACCUUUUUUGUGUUAAUUGACAAACCAGCCUGUGCAAGUGACCUACUGUGUUUUAACAACAGAUUUAAAGCAUAAUUAGGUCUUUGAAUUGUGGAGGUUCUCUGGGCUCAACGUGCGCUGUAGGAUGUAGUCUGAAAAAUUCCUGUAAAUUAGAACGUGACCGAACAUCAGCUGCGUUGUUCAGAAUGCCUGGUACAUGGAUGCAAUAUACACAGAACUGUUGAUUAGCUGCCAACCAGGUAAGUUUCCUUACUAAAUUCAUUAUAGUAGGGGAUUCCGAGCGGGCUUUGUUAAUAAUGUUACGUGCCGCUAAGUUCCGAAAAACACCUAACUGCUUUACCUUUCCUUUCUUUGCUCCAUUUGUUAGCUGCUACUAUUGAAAAAAAUUAAAACAGUGCUGAGGUCUUGUUAAAAUUCUCUAACGCAGAGGUUUUGUC